This 287-nucleotide long non-coding RNA is filed under the name Bos taurus (domestic cattle). RNAcentral describes it as "long non-coding RNA NONBTAT022491". The record is from RNAcentral. Lineage: Eukaryota; Metazoa; Chordata; Mammalia; Artiodactyla; Bovidae.
GCUCACUCAUAUGGAAAAUGCAAAUUGAAAGUUGGACUAAUUUAGACCACACUAAAAGAGAGCUUGCUACUAUUGUAAAGGAAAUAUACUGUCUUUGAAGAGCUAUUAGAUCUCAGGAUUUUGUUCCUUUCAUGCAGAAUGGCAGCACAGGGUUCAUAUGUAAAUGAUUCAAACACUCAAUCUAACCAAGAGUAUGAAAGAAAAAAUCACUUAUGUGAUCUAAUUUAACUUUCAAAUAAUUAGAUUAUAUUUCUCUUUUAAAAAAUCUGUGAGAUAAAGUUUUUUGC